UACGUAGGGUGCAAGCGUUAAUCGGAAUUACUGGGCGUAAAGCGUGCGCAGGCGGUCUUGUAAGACAGAGGUGAAAUCCCCGGGCUCAACCUGGGAACUGCAUUUGUGACUGCAUCGCUGGAGUGCGGCAGAGGGGGAUGGAAUUCCGCGUGUAGCAGUGAAAUGCGUAGAUAUGCGGAGGAACACCGAUGGCGAAGGCAAUCCCCCUGGGCCUGCACUGACGCUCAUGCACGAAAGCGUGGGGAGCAAACAGG
RNAcentral lists this ribosomal RNA (254 nucleotides) under uncultured bacterium. RNAcentral describes it as "partial 16S ribosomal RNA". It matches the Rfam family "Bacterial small subunit ribosomal RNA", at positions 524 to 776 of the family's 1533-position model. The record is from RNAcentral.